CGUGGUAAAGGAGGGUCAGAGGUCAGCCUGGGAGCAGUAAUUGAAUCCAGAGAAGAGAGUAAAGGACUAUAGAGAUGAGACGGAGAAUCCAGGGAGGCCGUGGCACUCACCUAGAGGUCACCAACCUUCCAGGGAUGGAGUGUGAAGUGGCUUAUAAAUCCACACUUUGAGGAGCCACAUGGUCAGAGGAAAGUCACGUGUGGAUACAACUGUGUAUUCCAGGGCCACACAGCUACUAGAUUUCUGCUUGGUAGCCAAACAGAAAGACCAGGUUUCCCCCUCUCUGAGUGAGACGACAGAUGCUGUUGAGCUGCAGCUGCUUGACGUGGAAUGGAGCUGCA
Long non-coding RNA from Gambusia affinis (western mosquitofish), 341 nucleotides. RefSeq lists it as uncharacterized. NCBI's taxonomy places the organism in Eukaryota, Metazoa, Chordata, Actinopteri, Cyprinodontiformes, Poeciliidae. The transcript is spliced from 3 exons. The record is from RefSeq and is a predicted model, not a curated record.